This 265-nucleotide ribosomal RNA is filed under the name uncultured bacterium. RNAcentral's name for it is "partial 16S ribosomal RNA". It matches the Rfam family "Bacterial small subunit ribosomal RNA", at positions 793 to 1055 of the family's 1533-position model. The record is from RNAcentral.
GUCCACGCCGUAAACGAUGGGCACUAGGUCCUUGGGGGAGCGACCCUCUGAGGGCCGGCGCAAACGCAUUAAGUGCCCCGCCUGGGGAGUACGGCCGCAAGGCUGAAACUCAAAGGAAUUGACGGGGGCCCGCACAAGCGGUGGAGCAUGUGGUUUAAUUCGACGCAACGCGAAGAACCUUACCUGGGCUUGACAUGGCCGGGAAAGCUGGCGGAAACGCCGGCCCCUCUUCGGAGCUCGGUCACAGGUGCUGCAUGGCUGUCGU